This 500-nucleotide ribosomal RNA is filed under the name uncultured bacterium. RNAcentral describes it as "partial 16S ribosomal RNA". It matches the Rfam family "Bacterial small subunit ribosomal RNA", at positions 30 to 523 of the family's 1533-position model. The record is from RNAcentral.
AUUGAACGCUGGCGGCAUGCCUUACACAUGCAAGUCGAACGGCAGCACGGGAGCAAUCCUGGUGGCGAGUGGCGAACAGGUGAGUAAAGUAUCGGAACGUGCCCAGUCGUGGGGGAUAACGUAGCGAAAGUUACGCUAAUACCGCAUACGAUCUAUGGAUGAAAGCGGGGGAUCGCAAGACCUCGCGCGAUUGGAGCGGCCGAUAUCAGAUUAGGUAGUUGGUGGGGUAAAGGCUCACAAAGCCGACGAUCUGUAGCUGGUCUGAGAGGACGACCAGCCACACUGGGACUGAGACACGGCCCAGACUCCUACGGGAGGCAGCAGUGGGGAAUUUUGGACAAUGGGCGAAAGCCUGAUCCAGCCAUGCCGCGUGCAGGAUGAAGGCCUUCGGGUUGUAAACUGCUUUUGUACGGAACGAAAAGGUUUGGCCUAAUAAGCUGAGCUCAUGACGGUACCGUAAGAAUAAGCACCGGCUAACUACGUGCCAGCAGCCGCCGUAA